UUUUAGGUGUUCUGCACCCGAUCCCGAUAUCGUAGGAGAACCAUUCUUGCAUCAGAUUGUGUUCUGCACCCAAAGUCGACAUCGUAGUAGAACCAUUCUUGCAUCAGAUUGUUUUCUGCACUCGAUCCCGAUAUCGUAGGAGAUCCAUUCUUGCAUCAGAUUCUGUUCUGCACCGAAGCCCGAUAUCGUAGGAGAACCAUUUUUGCAUCAGAUUGUAAGUAAUUAAUUUCUUUAUCAUUUUCAUACAUAACUUUUAUGAAAACUUAUGAAUUAGCGAGAAAAAUUGACUUUUUGUAUUUCCAAGCACUGAUUUUUGCUGAUUACUGAAACGGUUUGUUUACAUUUAGUCAUUCUGAAUAGUUUUUGGAUUAUAUAUAACAUGGAUUGUGUUUUAUUAA
Dalotia coriaria is the source of this 398-nucleotide long non-coding RNA. RefSeq lists it as uncharacterized. The transcript is spliced from 4 exons. NCBI's taxonomy places the organism in Eukaryota, Metazoa, Arthropoda, Insecta, Coleoptera, Staphylinidae. The record is from RefSeq and is a predicted model, not a curated record.